Molecule: transfer RNA, 76 nt
Filed under: uncultured Frankineae bacterium
Lineage: Bacteria; Bacillati; Actinomycetota; Actinomycetes; Frankiales
Description: tRNA-Lys-TTT
Rfam family: tRNA
About the family: Transfer RNA (tRNA) molecules are approximately 80 nucleotides in length. Their secondary structure includes four short double-helical elements and three loops (D, anti-codon, and T loops). Further hydrogen bonds mediate the characteristic L-shaped molecular structure. tRNAs have two regions of fundamental functional importance: the anti-codon, which is responsible for specific mRNA codon recognition, and the 3' end, to which the tRNAs corresponding amino acid is attached (by aminoacyl-tRNA synthetases). tRNAs cope with the degeneracy of the genetic code in two manners: having more than one tRNA (with a specific anti-codon) for a particular amino acid; and 'wobble' base-pairing, i.e. permitting non-standard base-pairing at the 3rd anti-codon position.
Source: RNAcentral
GGGCCGUUAGCUCAGCUGGUAGAGCAGCAGACUUUUAAUCUGCGGCGCGUCGGUUCGACCCCGACACGGCCCACCA